Molecule: small RNA, 173 nt
Filed under: Anas platyrhynchos platyrhynchos (common mallard)
Lineage: Eukaryota; Metazoa; Chordata; Aves; Anseriformes; Anatidae
Description: TUC338 (ENSAPLG00000020686.1)
Source: RNAcentral
AGGAUUGACACUCUUAAAUCUUCCUUUUAUCCAUAGAAAAGAUAAAGCAUAGUCAGGAAAUAUUCAGGUUUCCUCAGAUUUGCAGGCCAAUAUGCCUUCCUUUCACCUGAAGGGACAUCUCUAAGGGAGGAGAAAGCAGUUUAGUCACCAUUUUCAUUUUAUCCUUGGCCUUC